Andrographis paniculata is the source of this 1518-nucleotide RNA transcript. RefSeq lists it as uncharacterized. NCBI's taxonomy places the organism in Eukaryota, Viridiplantae, Streptophyta, Magnoliopsida, Lamiales, Acanthaceae. The transcript has 6 exons. The record is from RefSeq and is a predicted model, not a curated record.
UCUGUGAGGAUGCUGGAGUCUCCUUAACCUCUUGUUAUUUGAGUUACUCUAUUCGAGAUUUCCCCCUACUUGGUUUGUCGGUCUCUGUUUGUUCGUGUCUCGUCACACUCGGUUGAAAACCGGAGUUACAGAACAGCCGUCAAUGGGGAAGUUGGGUUCUUCUUCGGUUUUGCUCAGCUUAUUUUCCUUUCAAUUAUUGGAUCAUUUGUAUCUCUCAAUUGUUGUCCUGCUUUGUGUAUCGGUUGUGUCGAUAGGCUCUGCUCUUUGUGUUUUUGUUUGCUUGUUGUUUGGUAGUCUUGGAGAUGAUUGAGUAAGGGAUUUUGGUCAUGGUUGGUGGCAUUCAACCAUGGAUGAAGUUUGGUCCCAACCUCGACCAAGUUAUGAAGAAAUGCUCAACCCUUCUUCUUGCCCUCAAGGUGUUUGUGAAAAUUCCUCUUCCAAGUUUUUUUUGUCUAUUGAUCUUCAGUCUCAAUUCGGUUCAGCUUCUAAGAUUGGAAAAGUAUUUUGAGUUUCAUUUUCCAAGAAAGAAACAUCUGAUUUGGUUUUUGAUUUCAACUUUGCCCUUGUUGGGAAGUUCUCCCAUGGCUAUUGGUCGUGGAAAGAGCUCUUAGCUUCCUUCGAUAACCUCACAUCGUCCGGAUAUUGCUGGCAAGGAAUUUUUCAAACAAGAUUAUGCCAUCUUUUUCUUCCAACGGACGGAACUUUGAAAUUCAGCUUGAGAUAUCAAAAAUAAGUUCCCACUAGGUACUGUAACUGUUGGAGUACCCAUGUUAGUACAAGUUGCUUGCCAUGCUGAUAAAAAUGGCUGUAUUUUGUUUGGUAAUCAGAAGUCCACCCAUCAAUUCUUAGUUUGGUGUAGAUUGGAACACGUGUACUUUUUCUUUCCCGGAGCUUGGAGAAACGUGUUCUCGGCGAAGCAAUAAUAUUGGCUUGGCAAAGUAUUUGUCACAGUUGUUACGGUCCCUAAGACCCCACUUAUACACCCUAAGAAUGCCGGAGAGAAGAUCCUUGGUGAGGUACUCGUUGGAAAUAACAUUGAAUGGAUAUACCAACAUCCGGUUUGCCGCCCUUGAUUUCUUGCCUUUGUGAUUCUGCAAUUGACGAGCUUGAUCGUACGAAGUAGUUGUUCCUAGCUUUCUUCAAAGAUUGUAUUUUCUGUUGAUGCUGGAUUGAACUUCUUAAGUAUUAUAUUUUUAAUUUGGGGAUCUUGUAUUAGUUAGUUGUUAUGAUGGUUUAGGGCAUGGUUAUAGUUAGUGAUGUUUCAAAGUACCUAUAACGGUUAUAGUUCUACUUUUGUCAUGUCUAUGAACGUCGUUGGAUUGACGUCAUUUUGUAAGACUUGUAAAGUUUUUCGGAUUAUCUAUGUAGAAUUAUGUUUUUAGUUAUUUGUUACGCAGCUGGGUCCGUUACAAAUACGACGUCGAGUGCAUUUUCUUUUGUGGCACUAAAAACUUUAUUUGACACGGAUAUUCCAUUUGUAUUGUAUUUUUUGUUACGGAUAUUUCUCGGAACAAAAGG